CUCAGCCGUAAACUCAGACAUCCAGCUACAAUUAGAUGUCCGCCAGGGUACUACGAGCAUUAGCUUAAAACCCAAAGGACCUGACGGUGUCUCAGACCCCCCUAGAGGAGCCUGUUCUAGAACCGAUAACCCCCGUUCAACCUCACCACUUCUAGCCACCCCAGCCUAUAUACCGCCGUCGUCAGCUUACCCUGUGAAGGUAAUAAAAGUAAGCAAAAUGGGCACAACCCAAAACGUCAGGUCGAGGUGUAGCGCAUGAAGUGGGAAGAAAUGGGCUACAUUUUCUAAUAUAGAAUAUUACGAACAUGCACCAUGAAACAAUGCUUGAAGGAGGAUUUAGUAGUAAAAGGGAAGUAGAGUGUCCCUUUGAACCCGGCUCUGAGACGCGUAC
RNAcentral lists this ribosomal RNA (391 nucleotides) under Cyprinus carpio (common carp). Its description in RNAcentral is "partial 12S ribosomal RNA". It matches the Rfam family "Bacterial small subunit ribosomal RNA", at positions 795 to 1386 of the family's 1533-position model. The record is from RNAcentral. Lineage: Eukaryota; Metazoa; Chordata; Actinopteri; Cypriniformes; Cyprinidae.